This is a non-coding RNA of Oryza glaberrima (African rice), 204 nucleotides long. NCBI's taxonomy places the organism in Eukaryota, Viridiplantae, Streptophyta, Magnoliopsida, Poales, Poaceae. The record is from Rfam.
AAAAAGACAAACCCUGGUUUCCGUGCCCAACGUUUAAUCGUCCGUCUUAUUUAAAAAAAUUAUAAAAAAAUUAAAAGGACAAGUCACGCAUAAAAUAUUAAUCAUGUUUUAUCAUCUAACAACAACGAAAAUACGAAUUAUAAAAAAAUUUCAUAUAAGACGGACAGUCAAAGUUGGACACAGAAACUCAGGGUUUGCCUUGUU